Molecule: ribosomal RNA, 540 nt
Filed under: uncultured bacterium
Lineage: Bacteria
Description: bacterial SSU rRNA
Rfam family: Bacterial small subunit ribosomal RNA
Source: RNAcentral
GACGAACGCUGGCGGCGUGCUUAACACAUGCAAGUCGAACGGAGGAUUUAUUUCGGUAAAUCCUUAGUGGCGAACGGGUGAGUAACGCGUGGGCAACCUGCCCUUCAGAUGGGGACAACAUCCCGAAAGGGGUGCUAAUACCGAAUACGAUCGUUUUCCCGCAUGGGGAUGCGAUGAAAGAUGGCCUCUAUUUAUAAGCUAUCGCUGAAGGAUGGGCCUGCGUCUGAUUAGCUAGUUGGUGGGGUAACGGCCUACCAAGGCGAUGAUCAGUAGCCGGUCUGAGAGGAUGAACGGCCACAUUGGGACUGAGACACGGCCCAAACUCCUACGGGAGGCAGCAGUGGGGAAUAUUCCGCAAUGGACGAAAGUCUGACGGAGCAACGCCGCGUGAGUGAUGAAGGUUUUCGGACUGUAAAGCUCUGUUGUUCAGGACGAAAGUGCCUGUUGCAAAUAGUUACAGGUAUUGACGGUACUGAACGAGGAAGCCACGGCUAACUACGUGCCAGCAGCCGCGGUAAUACGUAGGUGGCAAGCGUUGUC